This 262-nucleotide ribosomal RNA is filed under the name Enterobacter sichuanensis. Its description in RNAcentral is "partial 23S ribosomal RNA". It matches the Rfam family "Bacterial large subunit ribosomal RNA", at positions 2669 to 2925 of the family's 2925-position model. Lineage: Bacteria; Pseudomonadati; Pseudomonadota; Gammaproteobacteria; Enterobacterales; Enterobacteriaceae. The record is from RNAcentral.
GGGCUGCUCCUAGUACGAGAGGACCGGAGUGGACGCAUCACUGGUGUUCGGGUUGUCAUGCCAAUGGCACUGCCCGGUAGCUAAAUGCGGAAGAGAUAAGUGCUGAAAGCAUCUAAGCACGAAACUUGCCCCGAGAUGAGUUCUCCCUGAGCCUUUAAGGCUCCUGAAGGAACGUUGAAGACGACGACGUUGAUAGGUCGGGUGUGUAAGCGCAGCGAUGCGUUGAGCUAACCGAUACUAAUGAACCGUGAGGCUUAACCUU